RNAcentral lists this transfer RNA (74 nucleotides) under Candidatus Heimdallarchaeota archaeon. RNAcentral's name for it is "tRNA-Asn". It matches the Rfam family "tRNA". Rfam says of the family: Transfer RNA (tRNA) molecules are approximately 80 nucleotides in length. Their secondary structure includes four short double-helical elements and three loops (D, anti-codon, and T loops). Further hydrogen bonds mediate the characteristic L-shaped molecular structure. tRNAs have two regions of fundamental functional importance: the anti-codon, which is responsible for specific mRNA codon recognition, and the 3' end, to which the tRNAs corresponding amino acid is attached (by aminoacyl-tRNA synthetases). tRNAs cope with the degeneracy of the genetic code in two manners: having more than one tRNA (with a specific anti-codon) for a particular amino acid; and 'wobble' base-pairing, i.e. permitting non-standard base-pairing at the 3rd anti-codon position. Lineage: Archaea; Promethearchaeati; Candidatus Heimdallarchaeota. The record is from RNAcentral. RNAcentral also lists the same sequence under 5 other names.
GCCUCCGUAGCUCAGCUAGGUAGAGCACCCGGCUGUUAACCGGGCGGUCGCAUGUUCGAUCCAUGCCGGGGGCG